This 1513-nucleotide long non-coding RNA is filed under the name Homo sapiens (human). RNAcentral's name for it is "HSALNT0216811". The record is from RNAcentral. Lineage: Eukaryota; Metazoa; Chordata; Mammalia; Primates; Hominidae.
ACAGAGUCAAACGGAAAGGGGGAGCACGGGCACAACCUAGCCAAUCAGACACCUCACGUGAUCAUUUCUUCCUAGUGUUUCAGCUAGGAGAAAUCCCCUUCUCAAGAAACAGAAGUCGCAAGGAAGAACUUCCCCCUUCAUCAAGGAGUCGUAGCAACUAUGUGUAAAUAAAUCUCAAGACCACCAGCUAUGUGUGAGGAGAGACUCACUCAGUGGUCUUUAACCACUGGGGACCCAGAGGGACUCAAAGGGCCCAUGCUGGUACCAAGGCACCGGGUCCUGGUGAUGUUUUGGACAACUCUGGGCAGUUGGCUUGGAGUUCCCUCAUGGUCACCAUGAUUGUUGACUAAAGGAGAAAAAAUCAAGCUUUCAAAUAACUAAAGUUAGUUUUAUUCUGAAGUCUUACUGAGGACUACAGAUUGAGGCCUAUAGCCUGGGAGCAGCUCUGUCAGGCUGCUCCAACACAGUGUUUCAGCUCACUGCUUGUGUACAGAGUGGGGGCUUAAUAUGCACAAGAGCACAUCAAACAUGCUCGGGAGUGACAUUGAAGCAGAGUCCCGUCGAGGUCUGGUGGUAGAGUACAUCUGCUUAUAGAUGACAGCGGCAUCAUCACGAACCCCUUCAGAAAACUGACACGAGCUCUGCUAAUGAUGGAGGUGUUGCCUGAGUCAUCCAAGCCAACCUGCUGUUUCCUAGACAUGAAAUUGCCGGGUUGCAGGACAAUGAAGCAUUUUGAAUAAGCGCUGCCAAACUACUUCCAAAAAGAGCUGCUGACUUCUACUACAGUACGGGCAUUCCUGUCUUCCCCAUCCCGCUAGGCAGGCUGUGGGAUUUGGGGCAGAGCCAUGGGGCUGUCUGUGAAACAGCUCCCGGUCCUGCACCUGGCUCUGCACUACGAGCGUCAUCCUCACGGCUUUUCCAGGCAUCCUGUGGGCGAUUUAUCUGAGUGUCAACAAAUGGAAAGAGGGUUCUGUGUGAGUUCCUGUCCUAUAGCAUGGAGUGUCAUGUUAAAGGACACUUUUUGUGCCGUUGUCUAAAUACAAAUGGCUGCAGGCAUUGAACUAAUGGACUUUGGACAGAGUCAAGCAACUCCAUAGUGAGGGACGAGGAGGCGACUUCCCCCACCUGGUUCUCGCCCUCCUGUCAGUCCUUGCUGGCCAGGGCCCAGUCCAUCGCAUUCUGCUCACCCACCUAACCUCCGCAGCUGGGCGGCCUUUCAUCCUGCUUGAUUGAAUGGUAUGAAAUUGCCUCUUUUUCGUCAAAACAGCCACCUGUCAGCAAUUCCGUGCAGUUCAACCAAAUUAUUGAAGUGCAGCUGAUGCUCAGUGUCAAUUUUCUCCGCACGCGGUUCCCUGGCCGAGCAGCCCCUCAGGGCCCAAGCAUGGGAAACAGAGGGGCCCUCCUUACAGCGGCCUUUCCUGACCAAGUGCAUCCUAACCUGAGCAGCUAGAGGGGCAGGGAGACCUCACCUUCCUCAUCCUUCUUCCUCUCCUCUGGAAAUAGCAGAACCUUC